This 842-nucleotide long non-coding RNA is filed under the name Manihot esculenta (cassava). RNAcentral's name for it is "long non-coding RNA (MESC_LNC007735)". The record is from RNAcentral. Lineage: Eukaryota; Viridiplantae; Streptophyta; Magnoliopsida; Malpighiales; Euphorbiaceae.
AUUGAUAAAUCUUUUCCUCUUCCUGGUCCAUGAUAGAUCUGGUUUUCUUCUGGAUCCUUUCUUGUUGGGCUCCCUGAUGGGUCUCUCCAUGUUCUACCUGGUGAAAGGAUCUGUAAAAUAAGAAAGAAUGGUCAGGGGCCUACCGGGGGUGCCCCGGCAGAGGCCCUCCGACGCUCAAGUCAGAUUUUAUGGCUCAGAGUAGUAUAUUUAGGCAAGGGUUACAGAAAGAAUAAAAAUGGCGUCCAGGAAGGAAAAGGAAGAAGAAGAGAGCCCCCUCUGCGUGGCCUCUACCGUGAUAUAUAUAUCUGUCUCUCUGCCACAAUGCUAGCUGUCUUCUGUCGCCUAGCUCCGUAUGUACGGAUGUGUCAGGCGCCUACUCCAUGCGUAACGACCAUUAAUUCUCCUCUGAUACGUAUGAUUCUCCUCUGAUACGCAUGCGGAAGGACUUACCAGCGGGGCAUCUUGGUCAUUUUCCCCUUUCCGGGCUGGGUUGAAUUGUAGGGCUGAAGUUGAGCCUGGUGAGGGCCUGAUUACUGGGCCGAGAAGUUUGGGCCGGUUUGAUUGAGGAGUCUAGGCGGAGUCCGGCCCUGUGACUGAGCGGGCUGGACCUGGCUCUUGAGGGGAAUAUUGAAGCCUUCGGAUCAUGGACUGUUUUCAUUGGCCUGGCCUUUAUACCGGGGUGAAGAAAUCCAGCGAUCAUCAAUUGCCCCUUUAUCUCCUCAGCAGUUAUUCCAUGACUGGUGAGGGGAUAAAUCUUUAAACUCUAUUCAUGACCGUGUGGUCUGAGAACUGCUCCUGUCGAAAGUAUCCCUUUCUUGCCUUUUUAUUAUUUUUGCCUGAGC